UCUCCCGUAGCUCAGUGAUAGAGCAUCUUUCCGGUGUGCGGAAGGUCAUAGCUUUGACUCCUGUUGGGAGAA
This 72-nucleotide transfer RNA is filed under the name Desmophyllum pertusum. RNAcentral describes it as "Lophelia pertusa tRNA". It matches the Rfam family "tRNA". From Rfam's summary of the family: Transfer RNA (tRNA) molecules are approximately 80 nucleotides in length. Their secondary structure includes four short double-helical elements and three loops (D, anti-codon, and T loops). Lineage: Eukaryota; Metazoa; Cnidaria; Anthozoa; Scleractinia; Caryophylliidae. The record is from Rfam by way of RNAcentral.